This is a long non-coding RNA of Macrobrachium nipponense, 830 nucleotides long. RefSeq lists it as uncharacterized. The transcript has 5 exons. Lineage: Eukaryota; Metazoa; Arthropoda; Malacostraca; Decapoda; Palaemonidae. The record is from RefSeq and is a predicted model, not a curated record.
AAGACAGUGCAGGAAAGAAGGACUGGUUCUGCGCAGGCUCUCUGAUCAACAGCCAGUGGAUUCUGACGGCUGCUCACUGCUUCAAUACUGCCACAGUGAAUAUCGUCCGCCUGCGGUGACACGAUUAUGAAGACCCGAAUGAUGGGGCCAAUCAUGUUGACUUCACUGUGGGCAGUCCAGUGGUCUUCCCAAAUUACACCUCUUCUCAGGCCUACCAUGACCUUGCUCUCUUGAAGCUUAACCGCCCAGUUGGAUUCACGAGUUCCAUUCGUCCUGUGUGUCUGCCUUGGGGUGCUGAGACUAACAGGAAUUUGGAGACCCAGAAAGUGACCUUGACAGGAUGGGGUCGCACACAAUUCCAGGGCGCCAGAAGCUCGUCCCUGCUGGAGGUAGAGGUGACGGUGUUCCCCACGAGCCAAUGUGACAGAAGCUACCAAACUCUGGCCGAAUAUGCCUCGACCUGGCCUCGUGGAAUUGGCUCCGAGUCCAUCUGUUCAGGAGACGUCAAUGGAGGCAAGGAUGCUUGUCAGGGCGAUUCAGGUGGGCCAAUCGUUUCCAAGGAUUCAAGAAAUCGUUAUACCUGGUGGUGUCGUCUCUCUAGGGUAUGGCUGCGGUGACAGAGACUACCCGGGCCUUUAUGCCAAUGCCCGCAGACCAGAGGUAUUUAGCCUGGAUCAAGAAGGUCGCGUUCUAAAGGUCAAUGAUCUUUGGACCUAAACUACUACUACUACUAGCAUAGAUAUGUGCGUAGCCAUACUAUACUAUUUUUUUUAAAUAAAGUUCAUGGCAGUGUGAACCUUUAUCUUGUGAAGCUCGGAGUUAAUGUGCGU